Molecule: non-coding RNA, 72 nt
Organism: Podarcis lilfordi (Lilford's wall lizard)
Lineage: Eukaryota; Metazoa; Chordata; Lepidosauria; Squamata; Lacertidae
Source: the annotation of a GenBank genome assembly
GUUUAGCUCAGCUGUUUAUAGAGCAUGGUGCUGAUAAUGUCAAGGUUGCAGGUUGGAUCUCUGUAAGGGCCA